This 236-nucleotide ribosomal RNA is filed under the name uncultured bacterium. RNAcentral describes it as "partial 16S ribosomal RNA". It matches the Rfam family "Bacterial small subunit ribosomal RNA", at positions 29 to 292 of the family's 1533-position model. The record is from RNAcentral.
AGCGAACGCUGGCGGCAGGCUUAACACAUGCAAGUCGAACGGAUCCUUCGGGAUUAGUGGCGGACGGGUGAGUAACACGUGGGAACGUGCCUUUUGGUUCGGAACAACACAGGGAAACUUGUGCUAAUACCGGAUGUGCCCUUCGGGGGAAAGGAUUAUCGCCAUUAGAGCGGCCCGCGUCUGAUUAGCUAGUUGGUGAGGUAAAGGCUCACCAAGGCUACGAUCAGUAGCUGGUC